Molecule: ribosomal RNA, 252 nt
Filed under: uncultured bacterium
Lineage: Bacteria
Description: partial 16S ribosomal RNA
Rfam family: Bacterial small subunit ribosomal RNA
Source: RNAcentral
UACAGGGGGGCAAGCGUUGUUCGGAAUUACUGGGCGUAAAGGGCCAGUAGGCGGCCAACUAAGUCCGACGUGAAAUCCCCAAGCUUAACUUGGGAACUGCGUCGGAUACUGGAUGGCUUGAAUUCGGGAGAGGGAUGCAGAAUUCCAGGUGUAGCGGUGAAAUGCGCAGAUAUCAGGAGGAACACCAAUGGCGAAGGCAGCUCGCUGGGACGUGACUGACGCUGAGACGCGAAAGCGUGGGGAGCAAACAGG